GUUCUUAUAGUUGAAAUACAACGAUGGUUUUUCAUAUCA
Molecule: transfer RNA, 39 nt
Filed under: Vulpes ferrilata (Tibetan sand fox)
Lineage: Eukaryota; Metazoa; Chordata; Mammalia; Carnivora; Canidae
Description: partial tRNA-Glu
Source: RNAcentral